GCUAUUUUGGCAGAUUAGUGCAAUAAAUUUAGAAUUUAUUUAUGUAAUUUUAAUUACAAAUAGUA
RNAcentral lists this transfer RNA (65 nucleotides) under Samoaia leonensis. RNAcentral describes it as "tRNA-Leu". The record is from RNAcentral. RNAcentral also lists the same sequence under 3 other names. Lineage: Eukaryota; Metazoa; Arthropoda; Insecta; Diptera; Drosophilidae.